ACGGAGGAUCCAAGCGUUAUCCGGAUUUAUUGGGUUUAAAGGGUGCGUAGGCGGACGUUCAAGUCAGCGGUGAAAGUCCAUGGCUCAACCAUGGAAUUGCCGUUGAAACUGGAUGUCUUGAGUGUAGAUGAGGUAGGCGGAAUUCGUAGUGUAGCGGUGAAAUGCUUAGAUAUUACGAAGAACUCCAAUUGCGAAGGCAGCUUACCAGGCUACAACUGACGCUGAGGCACGAAGGUGCGGGGAUCAAACAG
Molecule: ribosomal RNA, 251 nt
Filed under: uncultured prokaryote
Description: partial 16S rRNA
Rfam family: Bacterial small subunit ribosomal RNA
Source: RNAcentral